Molecule: transfer RNA, 72 nt
Filed under: archaeon GW2011_AR10
Lineage: Archaea
Also listed under: 1 other name
Description: tRNA-His
Rfam family: tRNA
About the family: Transfer RNA (tRNA) molecules are approximately 80 nucleotides in length.
Source: RNAcentral
GCGGAUGUGGUGUAGUGGUUUGCAUUGGAGCCUGUGGAGCUCUAGGCCCGGGUUCGAUUCCCGGCGUCGGCC